AUUUUGGUGAGCAACAAUGGAUACUUUUUACUGUCCUAAGUGAAUAAACUCUUCUCCCUUGAGAUAAGAGGAUGUUCCCUCAUCGUCACAGACAUCACCCACAGACAUCACCUGCCGCUUUCCUUUCUCCAAGGCUGCGGGUUGUUAUGGCCGUGGAACAGCACUGAGGCCAGAUGAGAAGUUGAACUAUUCAGGAAUUGCAGAACCCCCCCACUUUCUACUGCAGUGUCAGGUUUGCUCUCUUGCAAGCUUCGUAGAGCGCAUGGAGACUCUAAGGGCAACGUAGGGGUACCCAAGAGAUAUGAGAAGAAGCAGAUGUUUCUUAGCGUUGAGGAAGUCUGUCUGUUGCUGCUCAGUUGUGGAGCUGCAGUUGAGCUACAGAAGAAUCUAUCUGGAGGAGGUGGAUCACCAGGUUGUCUCCCAUGCUAAUAACAGCUGUUUCUUCAGACAGGCUCUUUUUAAUAGCUGCGUUCCCAGCAAACAUGUGCUUUAUAACAAAACAGGAAUGUGUGAGCAGCCGUGGCAGUGUGUAGUGAAUGGGGUGCUUCGGGGAGCAGGAGUGAGUUGCAGCAAAGGAAGGAAAGGAUCUCAGCUUCACAGUGCAGUGCUGGUACCUGGAACCUGUGAUGGCCAUGUCUCAGUGAGAUGUACGUCUCUCAUGAGCUGGUAAAAAAAGUCUCUGGGCUCCAGCACUAGCAGCAGCUACCAACUUCUAGUCCCCUUUCCUGUAGAGCUGACUACAGGGAGCUCUGAGUGAGGGUGAGAUAGGUGCCAGAAAAGCAUGUAGUAUUUUUUUUUUUUUCCCUCCCUCCUCUUUUCUUUUCUCGUCUCUCAAAGGGGCUGCUACUUCAGAGGCUGUUUCCCAGCCCUGCUGGGUAAGUGGAAUGAAAUGGAGCAGUAGAAGUGAGCAGCAGGUUCUAUGGGAGGUACUGGCAGCCAGAGUCAAACACAGCAAGUAGCAGUGAUGCAGGAACAAACCUUUUGUCCUACCAGGCAUUUAUCUCGAAUUCUUUUAAGCUGCAGUGCUUACAAUUUGUUCCUAAUUAAUCUGAUCUUCAAUCAGAAAAUACAACACUUUUUUUUUCCCCCCUAUCAGAAGAAAGAAUGAAGCUGGAGAAAUUUCUUUGAGCACUGUUUCUUUCAGUCACUAAACAUGGGCUUACAAAUGCAUUUAUUAACGUUUGCUUGUAGAUCUUGCUGUCACUGUGUGGAGUAGGUCUGUGGUUAAUAAAAAGAAAGUUAUGUACCCUCCUGCUUUAAGAGAGCAAGUCCCAGUGAAAUGAACAGGGCUGCUGUGGUGUGGCUGGAGAGAGCGUGGUUUGAUGUUCUGUCUGCUUUGGGCAGAUGUGACUGCAUUGAGGAGGAAGCAGCAGCAGCAGAACGGCUGGUUCUGUCACAUGUGGGCUGCUGUUGAUUUCUUGGUUAUUCCACGAGUCAAACAGGCUGUUCUGUGUGUCCUCUGUCUGCUUGUCUUCAGAGGCAACCGGGCUGAUGUCAGUUCUUCCUGGCUGUGUUAAAAGCUUGGAGGAAGAAUCUGGUGGUAGUUCUAUUAAAAGUUCAUCCCAGGGAAGCAGAACUGGCCUCAGAGGUCAAGCACGUGUUCUCCACGGGUAUCAUUAAUACAACAGGCAUAAUAACAGAACGGCAAGGGUGUUUCAGUGGAGUAGUAAGGAUAUGAAGCAGGAGCUGAUAGGCACAAAGUGUUUUGAUCCAGCAGAGCCCUUGCCUUCACUGGAAAUAUAAAUAUUCUUCAAUUUUGUCAUAUUAAGACGGUGUCCUCUAAAUAACCUACUUGAUAGAAUAAAGCAACUUUCAGGAAAGCAUAAGCAAUCAGCAGAAAUCGGGUUCAGAUUUUUUUUUUAAAUAAUCUUUGCUUCUGAGGUUAAAAUAACAAGAACCAGAUGUAAAACUGCAGAUAUGUUCAGGACUUAGAAUUCACUUUGUGAGUUACGAUGUUGUGGCUUGGAGAGAGAGAGGCAAGCAGAAAGAGCCCUGCGUUCUGCCAAAUGGGCAGGAAUGUGAAGUUCUCUUGUUUCUCACUUCUGAGAAAUGGAGUAAAAAAACCUGAUGCUUGCAUAAGUAGUUCUGGCUCAUCUAUCUGAAUUUGCUUUCCCAAAGGAAGAGUCGUAUUCAGACUAAACUUUGUUAGAUACUGUACGUUUUUUUCUCCUGUAAGUAAUUGAAGUUUUAUGAACAUUAAGUAGAACUUAUGCAAAUAAUAAGUAAGAAACUUAUUUCCAGCAGAAGCGUUAAAUAAAAGCUGCACGAUCUUCCAGGCUACCAUUGUUGUAGUGAUACAAUAACUCACUGGAUAUUUUCUGCCCUUUUUCUAGGAGCUGGCAUCUCAUCCAGGGUAUGUUUGGAAGAUGAACAAAAGGGUUUGAUUUGUUGAUAAACGUUACCCUCUCUCUUUGGUGCAAAGAGCAAAUGACCGAUCUCCGGCCUUCUCCCUGAAAAAUGCUUCUUCCUCACUGCUGUCAGUAUCUGCCCAAGUAUUUUCUGCCUCCUUGUCUCUUGCUAAACUCUGAGUUUGCAGAUGAUGAUGCCUUAAUAAAUUAGUGGGUUGGAAAGGAGGGACGCUAAUGAAGUUUGUCUUAAUGGGAGGCUGUGAAAGCGAAUCUGCUAGGGCUGGUUUUCUGAGUUUUUCAAGGCUCCUCCAUGAGAGGGAUGGUAAAUAUUUCUUGCACAAAGAGACCUUUUUGCAUUAAGAGUCUGAUGCCUGCCAUGCUGUGUAUGCCACAGCAAACCAGAGCUCAGGAAGGUACUGAAACAGAAGUGCUGUUUUUUUCAAAUUGACUCCCUUUCAUGGAGAUCUUAGUUCUGACUACAGCAAGUCUUGUGUGAAAUGUAGUUGCUAGCAUGUGGAAAUGAGAAAUACAGAAAAUAAAUCUUUUGUCUGUGUGUGGCAGUAAGCACCACAGUGAUGUGGUACAACAGAAAGCACUGGCUCGUUGCUCA
RNAcentral lists this long non-coding RNA (2958 nucleotides) under Gallus gallus (chicken). Lineage: Eukaryota; Metazoa; Chordata; Aves; Galliformes; Phasianidae. The record is from RNAcentral.